This 300-nucleotide ribosomal RNA is filed under the name uncultured Colwelliaceae bacterium. RNAcentral's name for it is "bacterial SSU rRNA". It matches the Rfam family "Bacterial small subunit ribosomal RNA", at positions 114 to 423 of the family's 1533-position model. Lineage: Bacteria; Pseudomonadati; Pseudomonadota; Gammaproteobacteria; Alteromonadales; Colwelliaceae. The record is from RNAcentral.
UACUUAGGGAUCUGCCCUAUGGUGGGGGAUAACUAUUGGAAACGAUAGCUAAUACCGCAUAAUGUCUACGGACCAAAGGGGGCUUCGGCUCUCGCCUAAGGAUGAACCUAAGCGAGAUUAGCUUGUUGGUGAGGUAAUGGCUCACCAAGGCGACGAUCUCUAGCUGUUCUGAGAGGAAGAUCAGCCACACUGGGACUGAGACACGGCCCAGACUCCUACGGGAGGCAGCAGUGGGGAAUAUUGCACAAUGGGGGAAACCCUGAUGCAGCCAUGCCGCGUGUGUGAAGAAGGCCCUAGGGU